This 447-nucleotide ribosomal RNA is filed under the name uncultured bacterium. RNAcentral describes it as "partial 16S ribosomal RNA". It matches the Rfam family "Bacterial small subunit ribosomal RNA", at positions 29 to 523 of the family's 1533-position model. The record is from RNAcentral.
AGCGAACGCUGGCGGCAGGCUUAACACAUGCAAGUCGAACGCCCCGCAAGGGGAGUGGCAGACGGGUGAGUAACACGUGGGAACGUACCCUUUGGUUCGGAAUAACUGGGGGAAACUCAAGCUAAUACCGGAUAAGCCCUUAUGGGGAAAGGUUUACUGCCGAAGAAUCGGCCCGCGUCUGAUUAGCUAGUUGGUGAGGUAAUGGCUAACAAAGGAGACGACCAGUAGCUGGUCUGAGAGGAUGAUCAGCCACACUGGGACUGAGACACGGCCCAGACUACUACGGGAGGCAGCAGUGGGGAAUAUUGGAAAAUGGGGGCAACCCUGAUCCAGCCAUGCCGCGUGAGUGAUGAAGGCCUUAGGGUUGUAAAGCUCUUUUACCCGGGACGAUAAUGACUGUACCGGGAGAAUAAGCCCCGGCUAACUUCGUGCCAGCAGCCGCAGUAA